UAUGGAGUCCAGCAUCAUCAGGACAGCGUGUCUCCUUUCCACAGGGCUGAGCCAUGCAGAGCCUUGCUUAAAGAAGGUGGCCUACGCAGAUAUGAGGAACUGCUGUGCAUCGCUUCUUCAGGGGGAAGUACCUGGUUAUCUCUACCCUUAUUGCCUUCUGGUCAUGUGGAGUCCAGCCCUAGGAGCAGCUACAGAUGCUUGAAGGGAAUUAGCAGAGAGGAUGACUGUGACAGACAUUAUUACAAGGGUAACAGCCAGAAACCGUGGUGCUGCAAAUUCAGGUUCGACAGUAGGAAAAACCCUGCCCUGGAGUGGUGCAGCCUUCAGAGAUGUGGGGGGUUUCUGUCCUCGGAGAUUUCCAAAGACCCUUCCCACCAGCGCGCAUCAUGCUGUGGGUCAGAGGUUUGCAAUAAGGCAGUGCAGGCCGUGACCAGGCCGCACACUUCACAGAAACACAGCCAUCCACGCAAGGCCCAGCUGCUGCUGGGAAAAUCGUUGUGUUGUAUUCUGCCACUUACAGAUUGCUCAGGCACUGCUCAACACUACACCGUUUCCCUCUGUUCCCUGCACACACUGAAAGGCUCUCCCAAAACUGCACUCCUCCCUGAGCUGGUACUUUCUAUACGAAAUGUAGGCAGUUUCCCCUCACCCCUGGCUAGGCUGUCUGCACCGAGUCCUCGUCUCCUUCGUGCAGUGGCCUUUCUGCCCCUAUGCACCCCAUGA
Long non-coding RNA from Anser brachyrhynchus (Pink-footed goose), 723 nucleotides. The record is from Ensembl. Lineage: Eukaryota; Metazoa; Chordata; Aves; Anseriformes; Anatidae.